Molecule: ribosomal RNA, 112 nt
Filed under: Pseudomonas aeruginosa
Lineage: Bacteria; Pseudomonadati; Pseudomonadota; Gammaproteobacteria; Pseudomonadales; Pseudomonadaceae
Description: partial 16S ribosomal RNA
Rfam family: Bacterial small subunit ribosomal RNA
Source: RNAcentral
GAACUGAAGAGUUUGAUCAUGGCUCAGAUUGAACGCUGGCGGCAGGCCUAACACAUGCAAGUCGAGCGGAUGAAGGGAGCUUGCUCCUGGAUUGCUCCUGGAUUCAGCGGCG